This 427-nucleotide ribosomal RNA is filed under the name uncultured bacterium. RNAcentral's name for it is "bacterial SSU rRNA". It matches the Rfam family "Bacterial small subunit ribosomal RNA", at positions 355 to 774 of the family's 1533-position model. The record is from RNAcentral.
UGGGGAAUUUUGGACAAUGGGCGAAAGCCUGAUCCAGCAAUGCCGCGUGUGUGAAGAAGGCCUUCGGGUUGUAAAGCACUUUUGUCCGGAAAGAAAUCCUCUGGGUUAAUACCUCGGGGGGAUGACGGUACCGGAAGAAUAAGCACCGGCUAACUACGUGCCAGCAGCCGCGGUAAUACGUAGGGUGCAAGCGUUAAUCGGAAUUACUGGGCGUAAAGCGUGCGCAGGCGGUUUUGUAAGACGGAUGUGAAAUCCCCGGGCUUAACCUGGGAACUGCAUUCGUGACUGCAAGGCUAGAGUAUGGCAGAGGGAAGUGGAAUUCCAUGUGUAGCAGUGAAAUGCGUAGAGAUGUGGAAGAACACCGAUGGCGAAGGCAGCUCCCUGGGUUGACACUGACGCUCAUGCACGAAAGCGUGGGGAGCAAACA